GAUCUACUAGCUCAGUUGGUAGAGCACAUGACUCUUAAUCAUGGGGUCCAGGGUUCGAGCCCCUGGUGGAUCA
Molecule: transfer RNA, 73 nt
Filed under: Clostridium collagenovorans DSM 3089
Lineage: Bacteria; Bacillati; Bacillota; Clostridia; Eubacteriales; Clostridiaceae
Rfam family: tRNA
About the family: Transfer RNA (tRNA) molecules are approximately 80 nucleotides in length. Their secondary structure includes four short double-helical elements and three loops (D, anti-codon, and T loops). Further hydrogen bonds mediate the characteristic L-shaped molecular structure. tRNAs have two regions of fundamental functional importance: the anti-codon, which is responsible for specific mRNA codon recognition, and the 3' end, to which the tRNAs corresponding amino acid is attached (by aminoacyl-tRNA synthetases). tRNAs cope with the degeneracy of the genetic code in two manners: having more than one tRNA (with a specific anti-codon) for a particular amino acid; and 'wobble' base-pairing, i.e. permitting non-standard base-pairing at the 3rd anti-codon position.
Source: Rfam by way of RNAcentral